This 482-nucleotide ribosomal RNA is filed under the name uncultured bacterium. RNAcentral's name for it is "bacterial SSU rRNA". It matches the Rfam family "Bacterial small subunit ribosomal RNA", at positions 29 to 506 of the family's 1533-position model. The record is from RNAcentral.
UUGAACGCUGGCGGCGUGCCUAACACAUGCAAGUCGAGCGGUAACGCGGGGGCAACCCUGGCGACGAGCGGCGGACGGGUGAGUAACGCUUAGGAAUCUUCCCAGUAGUGGGGAACAACCCGGGGAAACUCGGGCUAAUACCGCAUACGCCCUUCGGGGGAAAGCGGGGGACCGUAAGGCCUCGCGCUAUUGGAUGAGCCUAAGUCGGAUUAGCUAGUUGGUAGGGUAACGGCCUACCAAGGCGACAAUCCGUAGCUGGUCUGAGAGGACGACCAGCCACACUGGGACUGCGACACGGCCCAGACUCCUACGGGAGGCAGCAGUGGGGAAUAUUGGACAAUGGGGGAAACCCUGAUCCAGCGACGCCGCGUGUGUGAAGAAGGCCUGCGGGUUGUAAAGCACUUUUAGUGGGGAUGAAAAGCACCGGGCUAAUACCUUGGUGUCUUGACCUAACCCAAAGAAAAAGCACCGGCUAACUCUGU